CGAUGAAGCCCAGCUUGCUGGGUGGAUUAGUGGCGAACGGGUGAGUAACACGUGAGUAACCUGCCCUUAACUCUGGGAUAAGCCUGGGAAACUGGGUCUAAUACCGGAUAGGAGCGUCCACCGCAUGGUGGGUGUUGGAAAGAUUUAUCGGUUUUGGAUGGACUCGCGGCCUAUCAGCUUGUUGGUGAGGUAAUGGCUCACCAAGGCGACGACGGGUAGCCGGCCUGAGAGGGUGACCGGCCACACUGGGACUGAGACACGGCCCAGACUCCUACGGGAGGCAGCAGUGGGGAAUAUUGCACAAUGGGCGCAAGCCUGAUGCAGCGACGCCGCGUGAGGGAUGACGGCCUUCGGGUUGUAAACCUCUUUCAGUAGGGAAGAAGCGAAAGUGACGGUACCUGCAGAAGAAGCACCGGCUAACUACGUGCCAGCAGCCGCGGUAAUACGUAGGGUGCGAGCGUUUCCGGAAUUAUUGGGCGUAAAGAGCUCGUAGGCGGUUGUCGCGUCUGUCGUGAAAUCCGGGGCUUACCCCGGAUCUGCGGUGGGACGGGCAGACUAGAGUGCAGUAGGGGAGACUGGAUUCCUGGUGGGCGGUGGAAUGCGCAGAUUCAGGAGGAACACCGAUGGCGAAGGAGGUCUCUGGGCUGUAACUGGCGCUGAGGAGCGAAAGCAUGGGGAGCGAACAGGAUUAGAUACCCUGGUAGUCCAUGCCGUAAACGUUGGGCACUAGGUGUGGGGACCAUUCGACGGUUUCCGCGCCGCAGCUAACGCAUUAAGUGCCUCGCCUGGGGAGUACGGCCG
Molecule: ribosomal RNA, 801 nt
Filed under: bacterium
Lineage: Bacteria
Description: bacterial SSU rRNA
Rfam family: Bacterial small subunit ribosomal RNA
Source: RNAcentral